Molecule: long non-coding RNA, 1648 nt
Organism: Ruditapes philippinarum (Manila clam)
Lineage: Eukaryota; Metazoa; Mollusca; Bivalvia; Venerida; Veneridae
Exons: 2
Source: RefSeq, a predicted model, not a curated record
UGUAAUUGACCGAGAUGGAAUGUUUUCAUACUAACAAGGUUCUUGUGUUUACAGUAAAACCUGUCUAUAUGACAUUUUUUGUAUUAAUUGGAUAUUGAAAGACCUGGUCAGUCUCGUGCCAGUCUCGUGUCAGUCUCGUGUGUCUGACUGGAGGAAGUAUGACAUCACAUCUGUGAUGUAACAUUUCAAGGACGCGACAUUUAAGGGAAAUAGCAUAAUUAUAGUGCCUAGCGAUAUGAAGCAAGGUAAUGUCCUAUGGUAUUUCAUAGACGUGACAUAUCAUCGAUGUGACAUUUCAUAGACGUGACAUUUAAGUAAUGUAAAAUUUCAUUGACUAGCAAUAUAUGGCAAAGUAAUGCACUAACAUUACUAUGACGAGACAUAUCAGCGACGUGACAUUACAGUGACGUGACAUUACAGUGGCGUAGGUAUAUGUUGAAAAUGUGUUGUAAUUGUUUCAGUGCACCUGAUAUCACAAGAAGAAUAAACAAAUAGUUUCGCCCUUAUUAAAACAGAAGAAGUAUUCACAUUUACCAGGCUGAUAGAUGAUUAAAGUGUACUGUUGAUGAAAAACUGCAGUGGGAAACGUUAGCCUUUUUCACCACAACAAAAGUUCGUAUAUAUUAAUAGCUAGUGCAGUCAAGAUAUUCCUACGCCAAAUUUUUCUAUGCUUAUCAGUGUAAGAAAACAUCAUUAUUAAACAAUUAUAAGUAUUUAAAUAAUUUUAUGAUUCAUUUGUGCUACAGACAGUAUCGAUAUAUAAAUAACCUCGAUAAAUGUCUCCUGUCAUAAUAAUUACGAUUUAAAAAAAUUGUUAUAACCGUGACCUGGAUUGAGUUCAAGGAUUACAGUACAUAAACACUUACUUUCUUCAAGAACGAAAUACUCUAGGUGCCAAAUAUUCUCUGAUUGUUGAAGUGCUGCGAGCUGAUUAUAAUAAAAGCUGUAAACUGGAAUUGUGUCUUCUGUAAAAACUUUCAUUUCAUUUCAAGAUUUAGAGGAUGAAGCUGAUUCUUCUCAUUUCACUAUUGGCUGUAGUGUUGAUGUGUCUGGGUCAUGUAGACGCAGGUCGCCAACGUCUGUGUACUAAAAACGCUCAUGGAAAGUGUGUGGACAACGUGUUCUGGGCAAGAGGAAGGGGAAAUAAUCAAGGGAGAUUAAUAGCGUGUUCGUUACUGACACCAAGCCGAAGAUGUCAAAAUGUGGGCAGACAUUGCAGAUGUAGACUGCCGAGAGCGGACACCUUUGCAGCGGAGGGAGAAGCCGGUCGUUAUUGGGAUUAAGGACAUGAAAUAUAAACAUAAAAGUGUGUUGUGUAUAUUGGUAUAACUCAUGGAUAUAUCAUUAACACUUAUGAUUGGACAGAUCAGGACAAGGCAUAUUUUAUAAAAAAUCAAAAUAGCAUUUACUAUCUACAAACUUGUUCUAAAUUAUUAAUACAUGUAUUUAAGAACUGAUAAAAAGAAACGUCAUAUUUUAAAAAAUCAUGUGUUGUUUAAACUGAACUUAACUUCAAGCUUACGUAUUGUUUCGCUAUUGACGUAUGUAAAUUACAUGGCGGAGGAUAGUUUGUAUAAUUAUAAUAUAUUUAUCAUUAAAACGUAGUUGCCCUUUUAAAAAGAAAUUAAAUUGAUUGUAGUUUUAUUUA